Molecule: small nuclear RNA, 86 nt
Filed under: Hucho hucho (huchen)
Lineage: Eukaryota; Metazoa; Chordata; Actinopteri; Salmoniformes; Salmonidae
Description: Flavo-1 RNA (ENSHHUG00000019276.1)
Rfam family: Flavo-1 RNA
Source: Rfam by way of RNAcentral
AGUGAACUACGUUUGAAGCGGUAUCCUUUUUUGUCUCGUUUUUUUUUACGAGACAAAAAAGAUACAAGCGGAUAGCGGGAGUAGCU